GCUUUAUUGGAACACAGCCACGUGCAUUCAUUUAUGUGUUGUCUGUGGCUGCUUUUGUGCCACAAUUGCAGAGUCGAGUAGUUGUGAGAGAGACCGUGGGGCCCACACAGAAUAUUUACUUUUGUCUCUAUAUGUUUUUCACAUUAGCGAUGCCAAUCAACCUGACACCAUAAACCUCCCUGAGAAGUCCUUGCCUACGACUGCUUGUUGAGGCAAAUGGCUGCAGAAAGUUACUGACAGGUGUCCUUGUUCUAUGCCACGUGUGUCUAAUUUGACUUGUACUAGACACAUGAUUGAAGAUCUGAUCAGUGACGUGUGUCUCUCCUCACAUCUAAUCAGGUUCACCUUUAUGAGGAUCUUAACUCGCUAUGUGGGUAGGAAAUUAUUCAUUGCUGCAGCGGGUAUAAGCUAAAAAAAUCCUGAGCCCCCCCACAACCGACUGGACAGAUCCUCUCUUGGCCAAGGAGACCCCACAGUAAACUUAAGAACUGGGUUCCCAGCCAUGAUGGAAAGGGAGGCAAAACACAUCUCCUUAUACCCCACCCUUUUGUGGUUUAGACACAAUAACUCAUCAGCAUUAAUGUUAAAAUAGGGAUCAUCAGACUGACAAUAGAAUAUCAAAUUAUAAACAGUACUUAAGGCCAUACCAUGGAAGGGUUAAGUCAUGCAGGCUACACCUAAAUAAUAAACUACGUUCUAACUGCCACAAGAGUUUUAUUUUUCUCUAGCAGCUGAACAAGCACUGGCUUCAAGUUAAACAAUAUGAAAACAAUGACAAUUCAUCCAGCCCACAGACACUGACUGAUCCCCUGUUCCACCAGCCAUGACUACAGCUUCGGUUGGACAAGAGACUGAUUUCAGGAACUUUCUCCAGAUAAGAAGACCACCACCAACCAUGGACUGGUUCUGGCCAGUUUACAGAGGCUGUGCAGUUGAGUGCCUUCAUGUCCUGAAAAGACUUUAUGACAUAUUAUGCCUAAUUGUCAUAUAUUGAAAUAUUAAGUCUCCACCCUAAGGUGAACAUGGGUCUUAUGUUACAUGCAUGCUUGUUCAAUAUGCAUGUGUGGGGACCACCUUUAUGAAUAUGUAUGUUCAGGCAACCCAGUCAGCAUAAAGCUCCUGCCCUAACCCCUACUCCUUUGAAAUGCUUGUCUCUGGUCUUGGCUGGUGGCUGUAUUUCCCAGCCUACCGGAUGGCCACCUUGCAGGAUGUAAUCCCUCACAAGAAAUAGUCUCCCCUCUCUUUUCCAAAUCUAUACAUUUUUUUUUUUAGGUUAACAGGUGCCAAAGGAAAAUAAAAAAUGCAGAGAGAGGGGACAAUGCACAUCUAUCACGAGGCAGAAGCAGCCACCGGGAUGCUGACAUUGUGAGGGUGAAGGGCAAUCAGCUGUCCUGAGGCAGAGGAGAGCAGAGUUGAGAGUCAAGCACUAGGGUGGAGAUCAGAAAACACUCCAUAGAAGGGGCUGCAGGAAGACCUGGUCCCCAAGCUGCUUUGUGCCCUGAAGCACAUGUGUGCCUCCUGAGCCAGAGAGUCCCAAUUCCUGCAGGAUUCCCGACCCUGUGGGAGUCCCGCUGGUAGACAGGGAUAGUGACCGUUCUUUGGCAGCAAGAGUAGGACGUCUCUCAGUGCACGGAUGCUCUGGUCUUACCAGCGUGGGAGGCUCCCACACACACCACGCACAUGUGGCUCAGCUCGGGCUGGUCCCCACACCCCUAUGCACCUGAAUCUUACUCUUCAAGACAUCCCACUUGGGAACCUUCCCAGAUCUUCCUGGGUUCUCUUGUUCUUCCUGACCAGUAAUGCAUCUUCCCUCCAACCUACCCUGUGACCAGUGGCUCUCUACUUUUCACUGACUUUUUUUUUUUGUUUUUUUUUAAAGUCCCCCAUUACAGGUUUGAAAUGUGACUUGAAGAAUGAGGCUUUUGUUUUGUUUUGUUUUGUUUUUGUCCCUGUCAAUCCCAGCAGAGGCCUUGCACGUGGUCAGAGCUUGAGAUCACAGACGGUCAGGUCAUCCUGCUCUGACAAGACCACCCCACCCCUACCCACUAUGGCCAUUUUACAGAGCAGAAGACCGAGGCCCAGAGGAGUGAUGAGAUUUGACAUUAGUCUGCCGAGUCUCAUCUUGUCUGGGACAGGAAGAGCCGAUGUCCCUGGUGGGUUCCCGUUUAAAGCCCCAGUCUCCUUCACACUCAUAAAUCCCUUCUCCACACUUUGGUUGAGGGAACCUGAGUUAAUUUCAAGGGCUUUCAAUGACCAUUUGCAAUUAACUGCAUGGGAAAUAUCUUCAGUCAAUUAGCUUUGGCACUUUUCCAGGGCUGUCAACAACUGCUCUGGAGAAAUCAGACUUAAUUAUCUUGUUGUCUUUUCUUCUUUGUUUUUUAAUGUUAAUCUCAUUUGUGAGGGUUUCUGUAAACAACUAGGUAAGCAGAGACUUAAUUUGAAUGAAGACAAUUUGGACAAAGUAACCAUAUUUUACCAACAACUGGAAGGCUUUAAAAACCUCAGUUGAGUCUGUCCUAUAGUUUGUGGGAUCUCCAUGUCCUCCUAAAAUCACUAGAAUCCCGCUCGUAGGGAACAGAAAUUUAGCCCUAUAGGGAUGCUCACUUUUUCUCUUGACUUGUUUUUUGAGCAGCAAAGAGCGCAGAAGAAGAACUCAGGAGGGGACAGCCAGCGUUUUGUUUGGGUUCACCCUCUUCAGAUCCAAUAAUAAACUUACUGAAUUAAACUAAACAGCCCUUUAAUAGCAGUAACUGAUGGCUGCUUAGGGAGGAAGCAAGAUGCAGCACAGCAUUUAAAAACAAGACACAAGGAAGAUUAGCAGGGGUUUGCAGUGAGCGGCUGUCUCUUCUGCUUGCUUACCCAUGCAUUCUGCCUCCAGGAACAGCAUCCUCAUUUUCGUUAGCAACCAGUCCCCUGCCAGGACUAGGAAAAUCCUUGGCGUUUGAGGAAGGAUGAGCCCCCAGCACCCAGUUCUAGUUAUGGGCAGUUGGUCAAUUCCACUGCAUUGUCUGGCCACAGUUGUUGGCUUGGGAUGGAAAAAUGACCCAGGCUGGGCCAGUGAGGGUCAAUCAUGGGACGUUUUCUGAGCUGCCAUUUUUCUGUGGUUGGUGCUGGGUUGUAAACAUGAGUAUCUGGUCCUGUUACCAGCUAUGUUGCCACUUCAUGAGAAGAGUCAGCUUCAUGAGAGUGAAGGAAAAACAAAGGAAAGCAGAGGAGAGAGGGAGAAAGAGAGUUUCCUGAUGCCAACAGUUGAUAUCUGAAUCAAGUCUUCUCCCCCCUGGAAAACUAAAAAUAAAAUUCUAAGCCCCCAACUGAUGGGACAAAUUCCCUCUUGGCCAAGCGGAUCCCAGGGAAACCUUAAAAACUGAGUUCCUGGCCAUGAAAAGACAGGAGUUGCAACAGGUUGGGGGCCCACACAUGACCUUGAAUGAGAGGGAUGCUCAUCUUCCAGAUGGAUUUGCAGGUGGAUGCAGUGGCCAGAUGAAAUGCUGGGUUGUCUUCCUCUGAGGAAAAGAGUCUCCAAGCAUAAAAUGAUGCUGAAAAGAAAUGAAAUGAAAGGAAGACGAGCCAAACCAUGAAAGUUAAUACUGGCAUUAUGAAAAGUAUUGCUAUGAAUCCAAUUUAUUUAAUUAUAAGUGUUUUUAAUUAAUUUCAAAAGAAGAUGGCCAUCCCCAUCAGUGUUUGGCAGAAUGCCUGCGUUUGAGGAUGAAGAAAAUAUUGUGUGUGUGCACAUGCGCAUGUAAUGCUGUCACGAUGAAAAACGACUUCAAUCAUCAAUUCGAAAUCCUGUUCAAAGUGAAAUCACAUUUGCCUGACAAACAACACAGCAUCUACCAAUUAGAAUCAUGUUUACUUGGCAGAAAGAGCAUUCGUGAAACCAAACACCAGUGUCACAGCCACAGAGGAGAAUUGCAUUUUAUUCGCCUUUUGGUUCUAGCAUAAAACAUAAAAGGUACUCAACUGGUGUCUAAAGAAUGAACGAAUGUAUCAUUUAAUAAAUGACGAACACACAGAGGAAAGAACACGUAGGAGCUGUCUGCAGAAGGUGAGAACAAGUGUCAAAAAGGAAUAAACAAAAUAACAAAAAGAGUAGAUUAGUGGAAAUCCAUAUUGUUCUCAAGCUGCAAACUGAUCCAACGAUGUAGGUCUCACCUCAGUUGGUCCUCAGUGGUAACUGCAAGAUUUGGGGUGGAAAGAAUGGUGGUGCAAAUGCGUGUAAAUAAAGUGUGUGUGUAUUUGAA
Molecule: non-coding RNA, 4241 nt
Organism: Macaca mulatta (Rhesus monkey)
Lineage: Eukaryota; Metazoa; Chordata; Mammalia; Primates; Cercopithecidae
Source: RefSeq, a predicted model, not a curated record